Molecule: ribosomal RNA, 394 nt
Filed under: uncultured bacterium
Lineage: Bacteria
Description: partial 16S ribosomal RNA
Rfam family: Bacterial small subunit ribosomal RNA
Source: RNAcentral
AUACGUAGGGGGCUAGCGUUAUCCGGAAUUACUGGGCGUAAAGGGUGCGUAGGUGGUUUCUUAAGUCAGAAGUGAAAGGCUACGGCUCAACCGUAGUAAGCUUUUGAAACUAAGAGACUUGAGUGCAGGAGAGGAGAGUAGAAUUCCUAGUGUAGCGGUUAAAUGCGUAGAUAUUAGGAGGAAUACCAGUUGCGAAGGCGGCUCUCUGGACUGCAACUGACACUGAGGCACGAAAGCGUGGGGAGCAAACAGGAUUAGAUACCCUGGUAGUCCACGCCGUAAACGAUGAGUACUAGCUGUCGGGGGUUACCCCCCUCGGUGGCGCAGCUAACGCAUUAAGUACUCCGCCUGGGAAGUACGCUCGCAAGAGUGAAACUCAAAUGAAUUGACGGGG